RNAcentral lists this unclassified non-coding RNA (259 nucleotides) under Hevea brasiliensis (rubber tree). Lineage: Eukaryota; Viridiplantae; Streptophyta; Magnoliopsida; Malpighiales; Euphorbiaceae. The record is from RNAcentral.
UGGCAAUAACUUCAGUUGCCUAGGUUUUCUGAGGUGAGGAUGCAUGGAGUCUCACCUCGCUGUUUUCGAAUUGUUCACACUGGUGGUGUUCAUCUUGUGAACUUUCUCUUUUUUACAUUUUCAUUUGCAGUUUAUUAUAAACAGAAAUGCAAAAUGAAAAGGAAAGAUGAAGAAAAUGGAUCAUCAAAUCUUUAUUUUAGUUUCUGUUGCUGUACAUAUGUUGGUCUUUGCUCCAACACCUGGCAGGCUUUAAUUUCCG